AAUAAAUACUCCUUUAUCUUCAAUUAUAAAAAUAAAAAAAAUAAUCACCACUCUUCCCUUCAGUUUUAGUUUUUCUCUCUCGCCCUUUCAGGGCCUCAGCCAAUUAGUCUCUUUCUCUCUCUCCCUCUCCCAAAGACAAAGGCCUUUUGGCCUUUUCUCCUCUCUUAGACACUCAUCAAACACUUGAAGCAACAGUUUGCUCUUCUCUCUCGCCAUGGCCGACAGGGUGUAUCCUUCUACUAAACCUGCCACAAAUGGAGACACCACCGCGGCCACAACCAAACCUUCUUUUCCGGCCACCAAAGCCCAACUCUACGGAGCAGCCCGCCCUGCCUACCGUCCACAACCCCACCGCAAACGAAGCCGCCGUAGCUGUUGUUGUGCGUGUUGUCUCUGGCUGACCUUAAUCAUAUUCACUCUCCUCCUCCUUGCUGCCAUAGCUGGUGCCAUCAUCUACGUUCUCUACCAUCCCCAACGACCCACCUUCUCCGUCUCCGGCCUCAAAAUCUCCUCUCUCAACCUCACUUCAUCUUCCCAUCUCACCACCAACAUCAACCUGAACAUCACCACAAGAAACCCCAACAAGAAGCUGGUGUAUAUCUACAGCCCUGUCACAAUCUCUCUAACUACAGCUAAAGAUGGUAUCCAAAUAGGCAAUGGGUUGUUACCCUCUUUUGAACAUGGCACCAAGAACACAACCUUCCUGAAAGCUGCCAUUAGAAGCAGUGAUCAACAGCUAGAUGAUACCUCUGCUAGCCAAUUAAAGACAGAUUUCAAGAGCAAAAAUGGCUUGGCUUUGAAGAUAGAGUUGGAAACUAAGGUGAAAGUGAAGAUGGGAGGCUUGAAAACACCAAGAGUUGGGAUUAAAAUUUCCUGUGAAGGGAUUAAAACUAUUAUUCCUAACGGGAAAUCUGCAACUACAGCUUCAGUAUCUAAAGCAAAGUGCAAGGUUGAUUUGAAGAUCAAGAUCUGGAAAUGGACUUUCUAAAUGGAAUUGAUUGACUGAUUAAUUUCAACUCUUGAAUUUAGAGGAGAAAAAGAUUGAAAUUAUUUGUCAAGCGGUGGUAUAAGGAAGACAGAAAAUUUAUUUGUUAUAGAUUUGAAAUUUUUGUCAAUUUUUUUUUAUUUAUUUAAAAAAAUCAGUGAAUUGUUUUU
RNA transcript from Manihot esculenta (cassava), 1155 nucleotides. It is a transcript of the gene named NDR1/HIN1-like protein 6, with no coding region annotated. The transcript is spliced from 2 exons. Lineage: Eukaryota; Viridiplantae; Streptophyta; Magnoliopsida; Malpighiales; Euphorbiaceae. The record is from RefSeq and is a predicted model, not a curated record.